RNAcentral lists this non-coding RNA (21 nucleotides) under Arabidopsis thaliana (thale cress). Lineage: Eukaryota; Viridiplantae; Streptophyta; Magnoliopsida; Brassicales; Brassicaceae. The record is from RNAcentral.
ACAGUGGUGAUAUGAUGAUAA